This 396-nucleotide ribosomal RNA is filed under the name uncultured bacterium. Its description in RNAcentral is "bacterial SSU rRNA". It matches the Rfam family "Bacterial small subunit ribosomal RNA", at positions 30 to 420 of the family's 1533-position model. The record is from RNAcentral.
AUUGAACGCUGGCGGCAUGCCUAACACAUGCAAGUCGAACGGCAGCGCGAAUGGGGUAACCCAUUUGGCGGCGAGUGGCGGACGGGUGAGUAAUGCGUGGGGACCUGCCUGACAGUUGGGGAUAACCCGGGGAAACUCGGGCUAAUACCGAAUACAGUUUACGAACGAAAGGAGGGGACCUUCGGGCCUUUCGCUGUCAGAUGGACCCACGUUGGAUUAGCUAGUUGGUGGGGUAAAGGCCUACCAAGGCGACGAUCCAUAGCUGUUCUGAGAGGAAGAUCAGCCACACUGGGACUGAGACACGGCCCAGACUCCUACGGGAGGCAGCAGUGGGGAAUAUUGGACAAUGGGCGCAAGCCUGAUCCAGCAAUACCGCGUGUGUGAAGAAGGCCUCGG